CCUGGCGGCCGUAGCGCGGUGGUCCCACCUGACCCCAUGCCGAACUCAGAAGUGAAACGCCGUAGCGCCGAUGGUAGUGUGGGGUCUCCCCAUGCGAGAGUAGGGCACUGCCAGGC
This 116-nucleotide ribosomal RNA is filed under the name Escherichia coli. The record is from RNAcentral. Lineage: Bacteria; Pseudomonadati; Pseudomonadota; Gammaproteobacteria; Enterobacterales; Enterobacteriaceae. RNAcentral also lists the same sequence under 1 other name.